UAGCCAAAUUUCGAUAAGCAUUGUGAAUUGCACACUCCUGCGAAUCAAUAGACCUCUGAACGUAUCAUACACACCGCCUCUGCUCGCACGCGGUACUCCCAUUUCAGUGAACUUUAAAUCCUAAAAGCAAACCACUUUGUGGUUCUGGCUUUCGUGAUUGGGUGUCUCUUGUUGAGCGCCUUAAUUUCCAAAGCGAGAUUGGUCAGCCUGUGCGACGGGGGUUACCUUGUGUAACCUUGAUCUCGGAGCUUCUUGUUGUUUAUAUAAACUUGAUGCUUCCUUGUAGGUCCUUUCUGGUAAUUUAYRUURCUAGUUGUGCGUUGGCAGCUUCUAAUUUUAGCUUUCACAUUUGCGUUGCUGUUUUUAACAGUUGCGUAUCAAUUUGCUUCCUGAAAUUGGGUGAGACCAUCCGCCGAAUUUAAGCAUAUAAUUAAGCGGAAGAAAAGAAAAUAACUAUGAUUCUCCUAGUACG
Molecule: ribosomal RNA, 472 nt
Filed under: Babesia sp. BCS-2013a
Lineage: Eukaryota; Apicomplexa; Aconoidasida; Piroplasmida; Babesiidae
Description: eukaryotic LSU rRNA
Rfam family: Eukaryotic large subunit ribosomal RNA (bases 386-472)
Source: RNAcentral